Molecule: ribosomal RNA, 465 nt
Filed under: Vreelandella stevensii
Lineage: Bacteria; Pseudomonadati; Pseudomonadota; Gammaproteobacteria; Oceanospirillales; Halomonadaceae
Description: partial 16S ribosomal RNA
Rfam family: Bacterial small subunit ribosomal RNA
Source: RNAcentral
CCUACGGGAGGCUGCAGUGGGGAAUAUUGGACAAUGGGCGAAAGCCUGAUCCAGCCAUGCCGCGUGUGUGAAGAAGGCCUUCGGGUUGUAAAGCACUUUCAGUGGGGAAGAAAGCCUUGGGGCUAAUACCCUCGAGGAAGGACAUCACCCACAGAAAAAGCACCGGCUAACUCCGUGCCAGCAGCCGCGGUAAUACGGAGGGUGCGAGCGUUAAUCGGAAUUACUGGGCGUAAAGCGCGCGUAGGCGGUCUGAUAAGCCGGUUGUGAAAGCCCCGGGCUCAACCUGGGAACGGCAUCCGGAACUGUCAGGCUAGAGGGCAGGAGAGGAAGGUAGAAUUCCCGGUGUAGCAGUGAAAUGCGUAGAGUUCGGGAGGAAUACCAGUGGCGAAGGCGGCCUUCUGGACUGACACUGACGCUGAGGUGCGAAAGCGUUGGUAGCAAACAGGAUUAGAUACCCUGGUAGUC